CCUGCGGCUCCGGGCAGCCGCCCGGGAACCAGGACACCGCAGGGCAGCGGAUAAGGCGCGGCGGCUGUGGCCUCGGGCACCUCCCCCCCGGCUUCCCGAACCCUGCCCGGUCCGACCCGAGGGGGAGGAUGGAAGAACCAGCCGCGCUCUGAGCCCCUCAGGAAAAUAACACCCUUCCGGCCACAUCACCCGCGGUCGUGCGGAGGCCACCGCCUCGUCCCCUCCACGUCUCCAUCUCCCAAAACAGGGCCGAGUGAAAAAGGGAGCGAUGGCAGAAAAUCUGAGAAAACUGGUCUCGAGCGAAACUUUACAAUCGAUGCACGACAAGCUAGAGUCCUGGCUGAGGGACUACAACACAAACACAUGUGAUCAAAAUCUCAAUCGUUGCCUUGAGUUCAUUGAACAAAUUUCCAAAGUGCAAGGACAACUCUUCAGGAUCCUCACCACGGCUGCCCAAGAAGGAGGACACAAUGAUGGUGUGGAAAUAAUCAAAUCGCGCCUUUUGCCUUGGCUGGAGGCUUCCUUUACUGCUGCUUCCCUGGGAAACACUGUUGACAGCAAGGUCCCCUCUCUACAGGACACGUUUGAUAAGGAGAGACAUAAAGAUCGAGAUCGGGACGUGCAGCAAUUAGACUCUGAGCUGAAUUCAACUCGUAAUCAACUCAACCAGGUUCAAGACGAUCUGGCUGAAACUGAAAAGACUCUUGAAGAAACCAAGAACAGAUCGGCCAUAUCCCUUCUGGCUGCAGAGGAGGAAAUAAAUCAGCUAAGAAAGCAGCUUAAAUCUCUUCAGGCCCAGGAGGAAAGCCGCCACAAAAACUUAGAACACAGAAGCCCAGAGCACUGGAGUGUGGACUCCAGAAGCUCGGAGCCCAGGACCUCAGAGCAGAGGAAGUUGGAGCAGCGGGUCCUGGACAAGAGGAGCACAGAACACCGGACCGAAGUGAUAUCCGAUUAUGAGAAACAGCUCCAGACUCUGAAGGACGAGAUAGCGGUUUUGUCCGCUGAAAAAUCUGUACUCCAAGGAAGGUCGGUCCGGAGCCGCACUCCCAGCCCUGCCCCGCGCAGCCGCAGCCGCAGCCGCAGCCGCCCCGCCAGCCCCUCCACCGCAGUGGCCAAGGUCAGGAGCCCGUCGCCGAACCGUGCCAAAGCGUCCAGCGUGGCGCGCAAGGCUGCCCUCCUGUCCCGGUUCAGCGACGCCUAUUCCCAGGCCCGCCUGGAUGCACAGUGCUUGCUUCGACGCUGCAUCGACAAAGCUGAGACGGUGCAGCGGAUCAUCUACAUCGCCACCGUGGAGGCGUUCCACGUCGCUAAAAUGGCAUUCAGACACUUCAAGAUCCGUGUGAGGAAAUCGCUGACACCAUCUUACGCAGGGUGCAGUAACUUUGAGGAUGCCGUCUCGGAUUAUAUCAUUUGUCAUCUGGAUCUCUAUGAUUCCCAAAGCAGUGUUAACGACGUGAUCCGAGCCAUGAAUGUCAAUCCCAAGAUUUCAUUUCCUCCUGAAGUUGACUUUUGCCUCCUCAGUGACUUCAUCCAGGAGAUAUGUUGCAUUGCUUUUGCAAUGCAGACUUUAGACCCACCCCUAGAUAUUGCAUUUGGGGCUGAUGGAGAAAUUUUUAAUGAUUGCAAGUACCGUCGCAGCUAUGACUCCGAUUUCACUGCUCCCUUGGUCUUCUAUCACGUGUGGCCUGCUCUCAUGGAGAAUGACUGUGUCAUUAUGAAGGGAGAAGCUGUCACCAAGAGAGGGGCCUUUGUACGGUGGCCUUGCAUAGUGACAAUUCAUCCCAAGUGUUUGAUUCACAAUGGAAUUCAGUGCGACCUGUAAGUCGAUGUCGAAGCAGGAGUUUAAGUCCCAUCUGCCCCCGUAGCCAUAUUGGUUUAAGCACGGUAUCUCGAAGCCGGAGUCCUUCUCCAAUAAGAUGUGGAUUGCCGAGGUUUUAAAACCACCAGACAUGUUACCUUGCCACAGGACGUCUGCAACAGCCAACUUCCCCCGUGCCUCUGUCUCCUGUGUCUGCCUCAGAACUCACUUAAGAUAAUGUGAAAAGGCAAUUCUGUGUAUCACUCCACACAGAGAGUUAA
Molecule: RNA transcript, 2082 nt
Organism: Prionailurus viverrinus (fishing cat)
Lineage: Eukaryota; Metazoa; Chordata; Mammalia; Carnivora; Felidae
Gene: SPATA18
Gene name: spermatogenesis associated 18
Exons: 13
Source: RefSeq, a predicted model, not a curated record